Non-coding RNA from Coturnix japonica (Japanese quail), 5822 nucleotides. Lineage: Eukaryota; Metazoa; Chordata; Aves; Galliformes; Phasianidae. The record is from RefSeq and is a predicted model, not a curated record.
UUUUCACUAAUUAGGAAGAAGACAAUGUCUUAUCUGCCCUCCGGCGUAAAGUUGAGCUGGAUGAACUCUCCCAUGACCUGGGUGGAUGCUCCUUGCGGUGAAGUGCAACUCAGGUGGAUACCAACUAACGGCUCAGAGGGGGAAGACUGAGGUGGGAGGAGCAGCUCGGCACCUGGACAGCCACGGGCUGCAAAGGGCGUCCAGAAGGACACCUGCUGGACAGGCAUGUGGUCUGACCUGCCGCAGGGGCACCCAGCAUCAACCCUCCUGCUCACAUCGCUGCAGAAUGAAGCCCACCAUCACGCCCAGAGAAGCAGAGCAUAGGGACCCCCUUUAGAUACUGGGUUUCUGAAGCACCUUGGACCAACUGCUGAACAUAAGGAAACACAACACUUCCUAAUGGCACAGACUGAUGCUACAUGGCCAUUAGCAGUCAUGGAAAUGUUUGCCUCACAGAGGCAGUAAGGAGUUGGAUCAGGGGCCCAUCUAUGGGCUGCCCACCCCUCCAUCUUGUGCAUCCCUCACACAGCCCAGCCCUACUGCAUUGAUUUAAAGAAUGAAAAUUCCAUCUCUCUGAAGAAGAAUCUUCCCGGAAAUUACAAUGCAGCUGCUUCUCUCCAUGAGCCUUGUUACAUGAAUAAUGUAUUUCAUAAAAAAAUACACAAGAUAUUAAAUGAAUCUUCAAGAGAAGCUGAUUACAGUGUGCAGCAGUGUCUGUUCCCCCAUCCCUUGGAGACACUGUUUUGUUUGUAUUUUCAUUGGCAAGGCUCAGUAAUAACUCGAAAUCAGAGCAAGUAAUUCACAUAAAAAUUCACAUCCUCCAUACUCUGCAUACUUUCCAAAGUCUCUAGGUCCAUGAGAAAUAGGAAGGGUUUACUGAGAGGUCAACUCAAGACUGAAAACAAUUUUUUUAAGAAUAGGGCAAAGGUGUAAGUCUGAAAUAGCAGAAUAGCACCUUUGUCCAUAUCAAUGAUCAUUCCUCUAUUACAAAGAAAACAAUCAUUGGAAGCAACAGUUUUGGCCUACAGUGAGGAAACCUCAUAUAUUUUUAUUAUACGCAUUUAUAGCAUGAGAACAAAGACAGUAACUUAAAUUCCUUUGCAAUUGAGCUUUGGUAAACUAUGACAGGCGGCAGGAGACGUGUGGAUGCACACGGCCCUCCAAGCUACAGGGAAAGUAGAGCAUGUCUUAUCACAGGGGGCAACCGCUCUGAUAAACAAAUUCCUGCUCUCCAGCCAUGCACCUGCUGCCUUUUGUGACACACCAAAACCCAAACCUUCUAAUGUCAUUAAGGGCCAAAGCAGCCUUCAGAAUUGAAAUGAAUGAAUAAAUAAAUAAAUAAACUAUGGCCUCAGAGCUGGUCUCCCAGCUCAGGAAUGACAUAUUUUCCAAUCAGAUUAAAAACCAUGCACUGUGGGUACAGCCCAUAUGCGGAGCUGUCAGUUUGUUUACAAAUGGAGAUGUGCUUUAGAAAAUCUGAGGAUAAGAACAUUGCUCUUAGUGUAGGAUAUGUUCCCUGUGCUAAAAGCGGGUGCCACCCCUCCCAUUGACAUCCUCUCCUUUUCAAGGGAAACGAUCAUGUACUGAUGCUGCCCAAAAAUGUCUGUAAACAUUUCUGUAAAGUGCUGUACUAUGUUCGUUGUGAGUUGGAGUAAGGUUUUAAAUGGUUGUACAUCCCAACAGCUCUUGCAUUGAACUCUCUUACAACAGUGGUUUCAAUGGAAUGGGUUUCAAAAUACAGCAUGGAAUCAUUACGUUUGGAAAGACCACUAAACUCAUCUACUGCAACUAAUGAAGGAUUAAAGCUCAAUAGAAGCAAGGCUUUCUUCUAACAGCUGGGAUGUCAGAAUCUGGGUUUUGGAGUCACAGGAGUUCUCCCUCAUCACCUCCUAUGAAUGUUACGUUCAUCAACUUUAAAGAACCCUCCAACAGUUGCAUGGGCAAACUGGCCCCCACAUGCAUUUGCGAUGAGGUUGAUUAAUGAUCAAUGUGAACUAAAACUCAGGUGGCAAACUUCAGCCCACUGAAGUUUUCUAGGAAAGUUAAAAUUUUUGGAACCUCAGUGAUUGUUCCGUGGCUUCUUUGGUAAUCACAGGCUGUGGACUUCAGGCAAAUGCAUGAAAUACAUUUUCUGGGCACUGGAUCCAGGAUUUCUGGAUGAGUCUUUAUAGAGCAGUUGGCCACAGGAUGUAAGGGGACUCACAGAGACUCUACAGCAGUAUUCUCAGUCAAAAUGUGAAAUUGUUAAAUAAAAAGCAUGAACAAAUGUGUUCAUAUCACAGAUAAAUCCCCUUUGGUAAGCUCAGCACUGCUGAUGCUCAGGAAAGCUAUUGGGAGGAAUUCCUGACUGGAUCUGACAGCCAACCUCUCCUGUUCUGAGGAGCAGUUGGAUCUAAGGUCUCUCCAGCUAUGGGCUUUCUGCUCUGACCAGUUUUACUGAAAGAUUAGUACUCUGAUGAAGAACUUAAAACCUGGCCUUGCAUUCCAAACAGAGUCACAUAUUGCCUUGGAGAAGGGGAUCUCUUUCAGGCUUAUAGGAGAUAGUUAUUAACAAAAGACAAGAAUAUAUCCUAGUGCUGAUGUCCUGGAAGCAAAGGAAGUAUUUAUGGUGUCCUCUGCAAGGGACAGCCCAGUACAAGGCAAGAGUGACUCUGCUCCCCACCCACUGCCAGUGCGCACUUGUACAUCAGAACAAUGAAUGGAGUUCUCAUUUUUUCUACUCGCUAUGGUCAAGGAGCUUUUUAAGCUCUGCUCAGAGGAUGCUACAGUAAAUCUGCACUGCUGACACUAGGACUGCAUGAGAGAGAGAAAUCGUUUGGCAUUAGCACAGUCUCAAUUAACACUGUUGGCACAGAAUAAAGGUGUCACAUCACUUUCUCAAAGCCAGUGGUAGAUAGAUGACAGUGAAGCUGCAGAUACAUAAAGUGCUCAAAUUCUAUUUUUAGUCAGUUGGUUCAGUGGCACUGUGGUUAGUAGUUUCGUUUUUGCUCAGAGUAAGCAUGAUGUAAAUUAUUCAUGUUUUGCCUAGUUUUUGUACAGGAGCCAAGCAACAAAUGCAGUGACGCCUUGAAAUACUGGCCACUGAAGUGCUAUGAAGAAGCAAGAAGCCUGUUUUCCAGCUUUGAUAUUUUGUGUAGUAGAUAUUUUUCUCCUCCAGCCUUUCAUGUAUCAUACUGGUUCCUCUGUUAGCUAGGUUAACAGAAAAACCCAGUGUAAGGCUAGCUGUUUUCUCCUUCACAUAGGAAUAGACAGUGCUGGUGACACUUGCACCAAAUCAAAAAUAAAGCUUCUUUUGAAUGCACCACGAUUCUUUUCUUAUUAUGUAAAGAGUGAAAAAAGAUUAAGAUGAAACUUCAUGAUAAGGAAGACACUCGGGAGCCCUCACUCAUCACUGCUACCCUCCUGCCUUGCUGUCUUCAGCUCUGUGUGCCUGGCUGCCUUGUACACAGUUGAAGUAGAUGUAUCCCUCCCACUGCAGUGCACAGAGCACCCUCAGCUCCUCACACUUGUUAAGCAAGAACAGGACACUCAGUAAAAGCUCUCAAUUCUUUCAGAACACAAAUUCUUACUGCCCUGGAAAACACACUGGAGUGACCUAUAUGUAUUUCUUUCGGGCUGUCUGCCUUCCAGUCCUCUUAUCCCCCAUGCAGCCACAAGGCCAGCUGACAGUCCUAUGCUUGGCCACCAGAUGGGAGAAUGUGAGAGAGCAGUUGGAAGAUGCAAUUGCUUAUCACUAAAUUGCAUUUUCAUGUCAGAACUGCUAAAAUCCAUAAUUCAGUUCCAGCAUAUUGAAUAUGUAUAAUCAGUUCCAUCCCAAUCACUGUUUACAGCAGGAGAAAGCCACAGUGUGCAUCCCAGAGACCCAGUUUCCCAUCUAAGCCUAGUCCUUUUCCCUAUAUCAUCUUUGAAUAAGCACAUCCUUGUGUAUGUGCAAUUUGAUUUUUUUUUUUUUAAUAAUAACACAGAAGAUGAAACCUGUUUGUUUCAUAUUCAGCCAAGAAGACUUUCUCAUAACUUUCUCAUCUAGUUUCAACCCCUCUGCCAUAUGCAGGGCUGCCAACCACCAGACCAGGCUGCCCAGAGCCACCUCCAGCCUGGCCUUGAAUGCCUCCAGGGAUGGGGCAUCCACAACCACCUUGGGCAACCUGUUUCAGUGCUGAAGUUGCCAGCAAAUCUAUUUAUUUAUUCUACAGCAAGAAUUAUUCAAAAUACCUUGUUCUCCAGUCUCCCAGUACUUAACCUUCACAGUACCACCCACAUUAUUUUCCACUGAAAAGUCAGUUAAGCAACUCCUCCUUGACCAUUCAGCAAGUCAAUGGCAGUUGUACCCUGGAUCUUGUGACUCCACGCUGCUUGCUCUCACCCUUAAACAACAACUUGGUACUCACUAAAACGGCAAGGGAAAUCUUUCAGUGUGAGCACAGUGAAAAGCACUUUUCACCUUCCACAAAGCGUGAAAUGAAUUGAAUAAUCAAGUUUUUAAUGAAAACUUACUUCUCUGGUCUAGCUCUGACCAAUAACCAUCUUGCUGAAAAUCACUAUCACUGAUACCAGCUGGUUGAGCCUAAGUGAGACCUUAUAAAACUGGUUUCAAGAUAGUUUUAAUGGUAGUUUAACUGAUUCCCAAAAGCAAACAGAAGGUGAUUUACAACCAUAUACUGCACAUAGAGCUUCCUUGCUCCUUGGAGUUAAAGAUUAUGGAGUCCAUUUUGCAGUUCCAGUCAGCCAAACUCCUACAAGGAGUUUCAGACCAACUCCACAGUCACCCUCAACAAUCCUUCCAUCCACAGUGCACAGCCAGUGAAACACUGAUCUUACUGCCAAAGCCUUCAGUUUCAAAUGCAUUUCACGAUAUAUAUGAGCAGAAACAUACUUAGAGGAAGCUUUCACCUAUAAAUUAUAUGUUUAGAAGUGCAGUUUUUGUUUAAACUACAAAAAUUGAUUUUGAGUUUGCACCAAUGGAGAGUAUAGGGUUCUUUUAGCAAGAUGCCCACAAUCAUCUUCAAGGAAAUGUUUAUACUAAUUACUCACAGAGGACUGUUUGAAACAUCACAGUCUCAUUUACAGCAGAUCAAUUUUGCUUUCUUCAUCACUCAGUUCUAGUUUUGUUUCUUCCCAUUCUCAAGACUGGCUGACUUUAUGACCACUAAUGGUCUUUUUAAGACACUGAGAUGCAGAAACUGAAUACUUGGCCUCAUUUCUGAAUGUGGAGCCAACUGCUUGCAAUAAUUUUUCUAUAGAAUUGAUGCUUUUAUGGCAUCUGAUUGCCUGAGUUCCAGCUGCCAUCAGGUACUGUGCUCCAGUGACCUGCUGUUAACAGCUGCUCCCAAAAAGAAACAGAGAUAAAUACUGAAGAUGGAUUCCUGUUAAAGAAAUCAUCAAACAGAAAAACUUCUCUUGGGUAGGAGAAAGAUCACUCCAGGAAGUCUUUUCUUCCCAGCUAAGUGACAAUUUCUAUGAGCAAUGGAUAUAAUAAACUACACCUAUUGUUUAUUGACUUGUGAUUGGGAUGCUUAUGGGUUGAUUGCAUUAGUUGAGCUUAGGUGGGGACUGCACAGACAUAGCAGGGUUGUUAUAUUAUUAUAACCCUCUUUAAUUGCUAUCCCUCUUUCCUGGUAAGAGAUAAUCCCUUGAGCCUGCUUGGUGUUACCUACACCUGUCAGUAGGACCUGAUGGAGGAAAGGAAUGCUAAAUCCAGCUGCACCUGUAGGAUAAGAGAGCUCUACUCCAGGGCCUUGCUGAAGGCUGAGGAAAUCAAAACGUACCUUCUGGAAAAAGGAAAAACACAAAGACCCAUCCCCCAUACAGUGAUACUAGGGGGG